Bufo gargarizans (Asiatic toad) is the source of this 250-nucleotide long non-coding RNA. RefSeq lists it as uncharacterized. The transcript is spliced from 3 exons. NCBI's taxonomy places the organism in Eukaryota, Metazoa, Chordata, Amphibia, Anura, Bufonidae. The record is from RefSeq and is a predicted model, not a curated record.
CUGCUGAGCGGAGAGGAGUACACAAUAGUGAAGAAGACAUCAGGGGACUGUGUGACUCCCAUCAUCCAUCUCCAGGAGUCAGGAGGGCGGAGCAGGACCCCUCCCCCCAUCACAGAGCCUCCCCCUCACCCCUUGCUACAUGAGCAGAAGGUCCUAGAACUCACCCACAAGAUGAUGGAGCUGCUGAAUGGAGAGGUUCCUAUAAGGUGUCAGGAUGUCACUGUCUAUUUCUCCAUGGAGGAGUGGGAGU